GAUGAACGCUGGCGGCGUGCCUAAUACAUGCAAGUCGAGCGAACAGACGAGGAGCUUGCUCCUCUGACGUUAGCGGCGGACGGGUGAGUAACACGUGGAUAACCUACCUAUAAGACUGGGAUAACUUCGGGAAACCGGAGCUAAUACCGGAUAAUAUAUUGAACCGCAUGGUUCAAUAGUGAAGGACGGUUUUGCUGUCACUUAUAGAUGGAUCCGCGCCGCAUUAGCUAGUUGGUAAGGUAACGGCUUACCAAGGCGACGAUGCGUAGCCGACCUGAGAGGGUGAUCGGCCACACUGGAACUGAGACACGGUCCAGACUCCUACGGGAGGCAGCAGUAGGGAAUCUUCCGCAAUGGGCGAAAGCCUGACGGAGUAACGCCGCGUGAGUGAUGAAGGUCUUCGGAUCGUAAAACUCUGUUAUUAGGGAAGAACAAAUGUGUAAGUAACUAUGCACGUCUUGACGGUACCUAAUCAGAAAGCCACGGCUAACUACGUG
RNAcentral lists this ribosomal RNA (497 nucleotides) under uncultured bacterium. RNAcentral's name for it is "partial 16S ribosomal RNA". It matches the Rfam family "Bacterial small subunit ribosomal RNA", at positions 28 to 507 of the family's 1533-position model. The record is from RNAcentral.